AGUGAACGCUGGCGGCAGGCCUAACACAUGCAAGUCGAACGGCAGCACAGUAAGAGCUUGCUCUUACGGGUGGCGAGUGGCGGACGGGUGAGGAAUACAUCGGAAUCUACUUUUUCGUGGGGGAUAACGCAGGGAAACUUACGCUAAUACCGCAUACGACCUACGGGUGAAAGCAUGGGACCUUAGGACCUCACGCGAUUGAAUGAGCCGAUGUCGGAUUAGCUAGUUGGCGGGGUAAAGGCCCACCAAGGCGACGAUCCGUAGCUGGUCUGAGAGGAUGAUCAGCCACACUGGAACUGAGACACGGUCCAGACUCCUACGGGAGGCAGCAGUGGGGAAUAUUGGACAAUGGGCGCAAGCCUGAUCCAGCCAUACCGCGUGGGUGAAGAAGGCCUUCGGGUUGUAAAGCCCUUUUGUUGGGAAAGAAAAGCAGCAGGUUAAUACCCCGCUGUUCUGACGGUACCCAAAGAAUAAGCACCGGCUAACUUCGUG
Molecule: ribosomal RNA, 492 nt
Filed under: uncultured bacterium
Lineage: Bacteria
Description: partial 16S ribosomal RNA
Rfam family: Bacterial small subunit ribosomal RNA
Source: RNAcentral